CUGAAGGUGGUUCUAUCUGAUGGUGGUUCUAUCUGAUGGUGGUUGUAUGUGAUGGUGGUUCUAUCUGAUGGUGGUUGUAUGUGAUGGUGGUUCUAUCUGAUGGUGGUUCUAUCUGAUGGUGGUUCUAUCUGAUGGUGGUUGUAUGUGAUGGUGGUUCUAUCUGAUGGUGGUUCUAUCUGAUGGUGGUUCUAUCUGAUGGUGGUUGUAUGUGAUGGUGGUUGUAUGUGAUGGUGGUUCUAUCUGAUGGUGGUUCUAUCUGAUGGUGGUUCUAUCUGAUGGUGGUUCUAUCUGAUGGUGGUUCUAUCUGAUGGUGGUUCUAUGUGACGGUGGUUCUAUGUGAUGGUGGUUCUAUGUGAUGGUG
Gasterosteus aculeatus aculeatus (three-spined stickleback) is the source of this 361-nucleotide long non-coding RNA. NCBI's taxonomy places the organism in Eukaryota, Metazoa, Chordata, Actinopteri, Perciformes, Gasterosteidae. The record is from Ensembl.